UGGUAGUGCACUGGAAGGAGUAGGGGUUC
RNAcentral lists this non-coding RNA (29 nucleotides) under Homo sapiens (human). Lineage: Eukaryota; Metazoa; Chordata; Mammalia; Primates; Hominidae. The record is from RNAcentral.